This is a long non-coding RNA of Eurytemora carolleeae, 857 nucleotides long. RefSeq lists it as uncharacterized. The transcript has 3 exons. The record is from RefSeq and is a predicted model, not a curated record. NCBI's taxonomy places the organism in Eukaryota, Metazoa, Arthropoda, Copepoda, Calanoida, Temoridae.
UUAUCUUUAGUUGUUACGUUGUCAGUCUACAGUCAGUUCCCAGUCAGAUCAAAACAUCUCAAGAAAUACUAAGUGCAAUCAAGUUAGUUUAUUGUCAGGACUUAAGAAGAUCUGACUAAUAGAAGAUGAGACUUUACAAGCAAGCGUUCUAGAAGCUAGAGACUUCAAAAAGAUUAGUAACAAAUAAAAGAAUAGCAUCUAGUACACAACAAUGAACAAGAAAACUGUAUUUUACACAUCCCCACCUUCCUCUCCAUCCUCGUCGUCAUCAUCAUCAUCAGCAUCAUCAUCAUCAUCAUCAUCUUCAGUAAAAGGUUCCUCUACAUCCACCCCAUUUCAUUCUACAUUGCAACACAGUGAUCCAAACAACAAGAGCCCUUCAAAAAACUUUGUAUUUAGUCCAUUUUCUUCCCGCUCCUCUCCCUACCCUCCCUGUCAACCCAUAGAGUCUAAAUCUAAUUUCUCGACCUCGCGACCUCCUGUAUUCGGUAUCUCUGCUAGAGAUCGAUUACUCCAGGAACAGUGGAACAGAUCAAGAAUAUCCAACGCGCACAACGGGAACCAGGGAUGGGGAUCAAGGGUUGAGUUUGUCCCACGGUUUAGCGGGAUGAAGUUAGAAGAUGUUAUGAGGGUAACAGUUAUGCAAGAAAUGCAAAGAUUAGGAAUGUCUGCAAAUGUACCUCUUGAUCUUUCGAAACGAAAUAAGUGAUUUAUGUUGCAAAUUUGCAAGUCAUGAUGCACAAACAGUUUAAGUGAGAAGCAACAACUUUGCUGUAAAAAAAGCAGAACUACUUUUAAAUUUUUUAAAUGCCAAAACUGUUUCUUUAAUUAGUAGCAAGAUAAAAAUUGAUAAGUUU